UACGGGAGGGGGCAGUGGGGAAUGGUGUACAAUGGGAACGGGGGAAACGCAGGGACGCCGCGCGAGGGAUGAGGGCAUUCGGUUUGUGAACUUAAAUCCGUAUGGAAGAAGGGAAAAUGACGGUACCUGCAGAAGAAGAGCCGGCUAAAUACGUGCCAGCAGCCGCGGUAAUAAGUAGGGGGCGAGCGUUUUCUGGAAUUAUUGGGGGUAAAAAGGUGGUAGGCGGUUUGUCGCAUCUGCUGUGAAAAACCGGGGGUCAACUCCGGGUGUGCAGUGGGUACGGGCAGACUUGAGGGCAGUAGGGGAGAAGGGAAUUCCUGGUGUAGCGGUGAAAUGCGCAGAUAUCUGGAGGAACACCCCUGGGGAAAGCAGGUCUUUGGGCAGUAAAUGACGCUGAGGAGCGAAAACGUGGGGAGGGAACACGAUUAGAUACCCCGGUAGUCCAUGCCGUAAACAGUGGGCACUAGGGGUGGGGGGCAUUCCACGCUUUCGUGCCGUAGCUAACGCA
RNAcentral lists this ribosomal RNA (508 nucleotides) under uncultured Actinomycetes bacterium. RNAcentral describes it as "bacterial SSU rRNA". It matches the Rfam family "Bacterial small subunit ribosomal RNA", at positions 340 to 859 of the family's 1533-position model. The record is from RNAcentral. Lineage: Bacteria; Bacillati; Actinomycetota; Actinomycetes.